AAUAAAGCUCUCUUUUUCUCCUUCACCUAAAACUCUGUCUCCAAAUUUCCAUUCAGCAAUGGCAGACAGAAGCUGAGUUUCGGCAGCAAAAUUUGAGGGCUCCAGGAUCUGCCUGUGGGCAGGCGGCCCCACAGUGCUCUUGGCUGGAUCAGACACUUUGAGGUUUCUCUCCACACCAGUCCCCCUUCAGGUGAGCAGAGGAUUGGAGGACUCUUUUAGAGGCCAGACUGCUGAGAGUUUCCUGCCAUGGGGCCGGCCCCGAGCAGAGCUGACUGGCCAUCUUGGAAGUUGGAACUCCAGGGUGGAAAAGUGGUUGGAAGGCAGCUCUCACUGGCCUUGGGGGGACUCCUUCCUUUUCCCUCUGCUCCUGCCAACCAGAACUUCCCACUUCAAGAAGACUUUUUGGGAAGGAGAAAAGUAGCAUCUGUGAUUUCAAGACACCUCUGCCAGCAUCUGGAUGAGAUUCAGAAUUGGGAAGGCAAAGUAAUCAUACCGAUAAAAAGAGGAUUUUGGACCUCCAGAAGAUACUGAAGUGGGGGUGGGGGCAGGGAGAGAGGGUGUUUAUCUGCUUGCCUGGCUGGCACUGUAGCUGUCAUCAUUUCCUUACAUCUUCACCACGACAAGACUGUGUCAUUCGAGCCAUCUUGAGAAGGAGAAGAUGAAAGCUGGGAGGCCGUGAACAUCUCGCCCAGAUUUAUGUUGCUGCAAAAAGAAUUGAAAUUGGGAGGCAGAUUGCAUCCAAAGCUGGAAUAUUUCCAUGUGCUCUUCCCUACACCAUCCUAAAGACAUGGAAGGCAGGGCCUCCCCUCCCUUCCGUGCACCUUCUUGCCCCCGCCCCUGUGGUCUCUGUAUCUGCACUAAGAUGAAUGUACUCUGGCCUCUCCCACCUCACACUGAGCAAGGAGAAAAGGCAACAGCCUCAAAUCUGCCCAAUAUUCCAUGGAAGCUGGUCUUUGUUCUACAUGGACAGUGAUUCCGUUUGAAAAGGCAGCAACAUUGAACUGCCCCAGCUUCCUGGCUAUGCCCACCGAUGAAGGUGACAAUCACGAUGCAGAAAUGGACAAUUGGGAGCGUUGGAUGGAAUAAUUACAAUAGUGAACAAAGAACAGCAGUGAAGACAUUUUACCCAAACAUCUUGCUUGCUGUUGGAAGUCUGACUUGACCCAAUGUGAAGCCCUCUUCUCCAUUCCAGAUCCAGGACACCAUCCCCUGAAGGAGUCAUCAGGGACCUGUGGGAUAGGGGCCAUUGCCGGGGAUGCCCUAAUAGAGGUCCUUCAAGAAAUAACAAGUAAGAGGCUGCAGUUUCUGCAACCAGAGAUGAUGGGGCUGAAACGUCAGCAGGACAGACCAGGAUGGAAGAUCAGUCACGGAGCGGUAGGCUUUCCCCCUCUGUCUUCAGCCCUGCCAGGUAGACCUUGGCUUGCCCUGGAGUUCCCUGGCUGUGGGCUUCUCCCUUCUCCUCUUGGCCCAGCGGAACUGCCGGGACUGCUGAGAGACAAGCUUGAGCAGGACAGACAGGCAAGGCAGAUGCAGGGGGCAGGCGCUGCAGCAGUGGU
Molecule: long non-coding RNA, 1556 nt
Organism: Phacochoerus africanus (Common warthog)
Lineage: Eukaryota; Metazoa; Chordata; Mammalia; Artiodactyla; Suidae
Exons: 5
Source: RefSeq, a predicted model, not a curated record